Molecule: small RNA, 1769 nt
Filed under: Rattus norvegicus (Norway rat)
Lineage: Eukaryota; Metazoa; Chordata; Mammalia; Rodentia; Muridae
Description: uncharacterized LOC103690464
Source: RNAcentral
UCGCUGGAUUCGGAGGUGACCAUAAAGCCAGUCUCUGAUGCCUACACACAGACUAUACAGUGUGAUGGAAUACAGGCAAAACUUGAAUGAUUAUGAAAUAGGAUUCUAUCCACUGGCUGGCAUGCUGGAAAGCUUUAUGGUCCUCUUGGCACGUGCUACAGUGGGGACUCACAACAGCUCUAUGACAUCAUUGGAAGAGUGAAGUAAAGUACUGGAUGUUUAACUGUAAAGGAGCUUCUUCAAAUGGGAGAAAAGAUGGGAGAUACAUGCCAACAGUGAGUCCAUGCAGAAGUGGCAUCAUAACUGGUGACUAGAAGUGGAAUAAGAGAUUCUUCCUGCAUCACGACUGCUAUAGCACACAGUCAGAAGGAGCAAGUGACUCACUCACACAGCUGCUUGGAGCUACAAUGCCACACAGCCUUUGUCGACCAGCUAUUCCCUGUGAAAGAAGCCUAGUCAGUUUGACCUCUCUUCUGCAUCUUCUAAACUCUUGGCCAAGAUCUUCUGGAAGAUGCUUUCUCACAUCUGAUUUCCUACAAAGUGCCUGCCACAAUCUCGCCCAUCUCUCGCCAACUGGUAUACUGUCUCUGCUUUCCAAAAUUCUAGAUACUCAACAUCAACUCCUACAGAAGACAAAGAAUUAAUAAGAAGUAUGUCCAGAAGACACUAGCCCCACUCUUCCAACCCCAUCACUGUGCUCAGUAGAUUCCCUGGUUUAUAAUCCAACUGGAAGAACUGAGGCAGGCACUCCUGUAUGCUGGCUCCCCAUAUAUGACCAACCACUCACAUAUAAGGUCGGAUGCUCUCCUUUCUCUCUGUCAUCAAGCCACUGAAUUCAUCAGGAAGGAGUCCUCUAUCAGCUCAAGUGCUUUGAGCUCAUGUGCUCUGGGCUCCCCACUAUUUAGUGGGCAGCUCCAGCAGGCAUUGAAAUAGGCUCUUAUCUCAACUUGAACCCGAAACCUGUGACUCUACUUUAUUCUCCAAAUACAGAAGCCCAAAAACCAAGAAGUAGGAAGGUAAUGUCAGUGAUGUCAGUGGUACAGCACUGCGCAUGGUGUAUGGAUGCAUCCCUCUGCGUUGUAAAGAAGAAAAGUCUUCACUCAGAAGUGGGCACCUGCACUGAAAAUUCAUGGAGUUAGAAUACAGGGAUGCGCCUGAUCCAUUCAAUGGUGCAAGAUUGGAGACAGGAUUCUUCCCCAGAAGAAAACCUUAUUAAGAGUUCCAAUGGAGACUGCAGCCUGACUGAUGGUGCUCACAUUUCUUCAACAUCAGUGAGACCACCCUUGGCACAAGUGAGAAUGAUACGGUCAACCGGAAGGAUGGGAACACAACAGGAAGAUGGGCCUUUGGCAUGCCUGUGGGAAACUAUCUUGAUUAGAUUAAUGGAGGUGGAAAGAUUCUCCCACCAUAGGUGUCACCAUUCCCUAGACAAGGCAUCCUGGAGUAUAUACAAGUGGAAAAGGUCACAAAAUCUACCUUAUUAUGAGGGUGGACAUGCAAGCUUCAGUCAAAGGCUGUUCUACAGUGAGAAUCUGUGGGAUUCUUCAACGGUGUCUAAGAUGAUGAACAGCAAUGGAAGCCAUGGAAGUGUCCCACAUUAAAAUGAGGGGGAAAGCUGCAAAGGUGGAUACUGGAAAAGAGCAGAAGAUCCUGGGGAUGGUAAUGUCCUCCUAUUUUCAGAAAGCUGCACAUUCUAAGCAUUGCUGGACUUUAGAGAAAAACCCUGAAAAUAUCAAGCAAAUAAGAUCUGUAUCAGCUGGUGAAAUAUA